CCUACGGGAGGCUGCAGUGAGGAAUAUUGGUCAAUGGCCGCAGGGCUGAACCAGCCAAGUCGCGUGGGGGAUGACGGUCCUAUGGAUUGUAAACCUCUUUUGUCAGGGCGCAAAGGGCGCCACGUGUGGCGCUUUGCGAGUACCUGAAGAAAAAGCAUCGGCUAACUCCGUGCCAGCAGCCGCGGUAAUACGGCGGAGGCGAUGGUUCUCCGGAUUUAUUGGGUUUAAGGGGUGCGCAGGCGGAAUGUCAAGUCAGCGGUAAAAUUUCGGGGCUCAACCCCGUCGUGCCGUUGAAACUGGCGUUCUUGAGUGAGCGAGAAGUAUGCGGAAUGCGUGGUGUAGCGGUGAAAUGCAUAGAUAUCACGCAGAACUCCGAUUGCGAAGGCAGCAUACCGGCGCUCAACUGACGCUCAUGCACGAAAGCGUGGGUAUCGAACAGGAUUAGAUACCCGGGUAGUC
This 459-nucleotide ribosomal RNA is filed under the name uncultured bacterium. RNAcentral describes it as "partial 16S ribosomal RNA". It matches the Rfam family "Bacterial small subunit ribosomal RNA", at positions 338 to 795 of the family's 1533-position model. The record is from RNAcentral.